CCUCUCUGUUGACGAGGACGAAAAUUCUGCAACAUUGCAGCUUCACAAGAAAAACGUCUGGGUUAAAUAACUCAAGAUGCUGAUAUACCAUCCCUCUUCAACAAUUCCUGGAAAAGCAGACACCAAAAGGUUUAGUUCAUAGCCAUUGCAGCAAAUUUUUCUCAUCUUCAAAUUGAAAUAUAAUGUACCAGUUUGGUUGCAGUAAUUGACAGACGUUGCCUUUCUCUUUUCUCACGUCGGCACUCUCCACACCAGCUGGAGAAAUCCUUUUGAUAUUUCUUCAGCUCUCGGAAGACUGAACUGAAAGGGAGGAAAAUAUUGCACUCAAUACCAUUAUUGAUCGUUAAAAACAGCAAAUUGGCAAACUCCUCCCGACUCAUUUUGCCUAAGAACCAAGCCCUCUAAUUGUAAGAAGAGAAAUGCAAGUUUUCUUGAUACCAAGCAUGCAUAGUAUGCCAUGGCAAAUAAAAUUUCUUCUUUUACACCGCUGCUUAUCUACAACAAAAGCAGUGCGUCAAUCUCCAAAACUCCAUCUAUUGUCUUUCAACUUCUAUAAAAAAAUAAAGAAAAAUCUACUUCUGUAGUAUUUCUUUCAACUCUCAGAUUACUCAAAUCUUGAGAAUUAGCCAGCAUUAUGAUCAUUUCAGUCAACCAACUGAACUAGGAGAAAAUUUUAAACAAAACUUAUUUCCAAGCACAUGAAAUUUGAGUUUCAUUUAUUAAGCUUCUAUUAUUUAAUUGUGUGCUACUGAGCUCACAAACUUUCCAAUUUAAGCACCUCAGGGACUUCCUUAACAGCAGAAUUUUUUUUUUUAAAAAAACGAAGAGCUUAUUCACUAUAAUCAAUUUUUGCAAAGAGACGUAAUUAGUUUCAUUAAAUUAUCAGUGACCAAACAAAAUAACAAAAUUUUGCAUACUAAAUGCAUUGGAAAACUCUCAAUUAUUGUUUGAACUAUCUCUCUUCCUUCUCUCUAUCCCACACCAUCAUGUCCUUACCUUCCAUCCAAGCCAAGAAUUACC
RNAcentral lists this unclassified non-coding RNA (1020 nucleotides) under Hevea brasiliensis (rubber tree). Lineage: Eukaryota; Viridiplantae; Streptophyta; Magnoliopsida; Malpighiales; Euphorbiaceae. The record is from RNAcentral.